Molecule: transfer RNA, 73 nt
Filed under: Prevotellaceae bacterium
Lineage: Bacteria; Pseudomonadati; Bacteroidota; Bacteroidia; Bacteroidales; Prevotellaceae
Description: tRNA-Thr
Rfam family: tRNA
About the family: Transfer RNA (tRNA) molecules are approximately 80 nucleotides in length.
Source: RNAcentral
GCCGCUAUAGCUCAGUUGGUAGAGCAAUUCAUUCGUAAUGAAUAGGUCGCCGGUUCGAGUCCGGCUAUCGGCU